UCCAGACUCCUACGGGAGGCAGCAGUGGGGAAUAUUGGGCAAUGGGCGCAAGCCUGACCCAGCAACGACGCGUGAAGGAAGAAGGCUUUCGGGUUGUAAACUUCUUUUCUCAGGGACGAAGCAAGUGACGGUACCUGAGGAAUGAGCCACGGCUAACUACGUGCCAGCAGCCGCGGUAAUACGUAGGUGGCACGCGUUAUCCGGAUUUACUGGGUGUAAAGGGCGUGUAGGCGGGAAAGCAAGUCAGAUGUGAAAUCCAUGGGCUCAACCUGUGGCCUGCAUUUGAAACUGUUUUUCUUGAGUACUGGAGAGGCAGACGGAAUUCCUAGUGUAGCGGUGAAAUGCGUAGAUAUUAGGAGGAACACCAGUGGCGAAGGCGGUCUGCUGGACAGCAACUGACGCUGAGGCGCGAAAGCGUGGGGAGCAAACAGGAUUAGAUCCCCCUGUA
This 448-nucleotide ribosomal RNA is filed under the name uncultured bacterium. Its description in RNAcentral is "bacterial SSU rRNA". It matches the Rfam family "Bacterial small subunit ribosomal RNA", at positions 330 to 792 of the family's 1533-position model. The record is from RNAcentral.